This 1413-nucleotide long non-coding RNA is filed under the name Gallus gallus (chicken). Its description in RNAcentral is "lncRNA (ENSGALG00010009350.1)". The record is from RNAcentral. Lineage: Eukaryota; Metazoa; Chordata; Aves; Galliformes; Phasianidae.
CAAAAACAGUAUCCUGAGACCUACUACGAUACUUACGAGGAGCAACACGGUUUAAGAAUAUUUAGGAAUACUUUUCAUCUGAGAUAUCAAAGAGAAAAAUGUUUGAUGUUGUGCAGAGAUCUUCCUGAACUUUGGACAGCAGAAUUCAGGCAUCAUCAGACUGCAUUUGAAUUACCUCUGAAAUAACAGUAGAGGUUAAAUUGCCGUUUUCAGCUGACUCAUCACGUUCAAAGCUGUGAUUCUGCUGAUGAAACCUUUGUAUUUAAGUGAAUGUAUCAUUAGAAGCAGAAACUACUGUAGCCUCAAACUUCCUCAUUUGAAGCAGACCUGAAGCAGAAAGAUAUGCAUUGACUGAACUGUUCUUGAAACAUUACCACUGCACUGCCCCCUUUAGAUAUUGAAAAGCCGCUCUCAGGACUCCCUGCAGCCUUCUCUUCUCCAGGCUUAACAGCCUCAGCUCUCUCAGCCCAUCCUUGUUGGUGUUCCAUCCCUUGGAUCAUUUUUGUGGCCCUCCUCUGGACAUGUGUCAGAGAUGGCUUAUGGUGACCUCAUAGCUCUCUACUGAUAGUGAGAGACACAACUCUACAACAAGGGAAACAUGACUGGAUUAAGGAAAACAUUGCAGAGGGAGCGAGGUCAGAGGCCCACAGAGGUUCUGGAGCGUCCAUCCUCAGAGGAGUUCACAUUUCAUUUGGACACAUCCCUAUAACAUCCAGCAUAACUUUUUUACUGGCCCUGCUUUGAGCAGGGUUGCGCCAAAUGGACUCUUGAAGUCCCUUCCAGACUCUUAUGUCCACCAUCUUUUUUUCUUGGACAUCUUUGUGCUAGACAAUUUUUGGAAACAUUGUGAUUGAUGGCUUCGAUGAAUGGAUCCGUCUGGUCUGACAAAAGCUGAAAUGCCCUGAUCAAAUCCCAGAUCACCAGGUUCAGUGUAACAUAUACUUACAACAUCUUUUACUCACUACCAACCUGACACUUAGAGCUACAGCAGAAUGUAGAGCAGCCUGAAGGACCAAAAUGCAAUCUGGAUCUGCCUGAGAAGGUAUUCAGCUUUCUUCCAUUUCCAGUGGAGAAGCAUAAGCCUGCCUGAGCUGAAGGCUGGAGGAAUUUUAUCAUUGGGUGAAGAGAUGAAACAACACAGUGAAAACAAAACCCCUUCCCCCGGAAUUUUGCAUUUCUCCAGUGAGAGCUUCUGGCAGACUAUUUUCUCUUCAAGGAAAAAGAAUAAAUCACUGAAAUCAUACUCACUGUUACCUGAUACAGGCCUGAGAGUCCACUUUCUGUAAGGCCAAGUGAUGCCUACAGCCAGCCUUUAAACUUCUGUUACACGACUAACAAGUGAAGGACUACCCUGCAUCUUGUCUGCAGAGGACUAAUAUUGUGGGCUAUUUAUUUCCAGUUUACUAUACCCUG